CAGCGUAUACUAAAGUUGCUGCAGUUAAAAAGCUCGUAGUUGGAUGUUGGGAUUGAUGCCGGUGGUCCACCGCAAGGUCGGAUUCGCCUGUCCCAGCCCCUUCCUGGGGCGCUCCCUGGAUGCUCUUGACUGAGUGUCCUGUGGAGCCCAAAGCGUUUACUUUGAAAAAAAUAGAGUGUUCAAGGCAGGCCCAGUGUCUGAAUACCAAAGCUGGGAAUAAUGGAAAAGGACUUCGGUUCUAUUUCGUGGGUUUGCUCCUGAGCCGGAGUCAUGAUUAAGAGGGACGGCCGGGGGCAUCCGUAUUGUGCCGCUAGAGGUGAAAUUCUUGGACCGGCACAAGACGAACGAAAG
RNAcentral lists this ribosomal RNA (351 nucleotides) under Umbra limi (central mudminnow). RNAcentral's name for it is "SSU rRNA". It matches the Rfam family "Eukaryotic small subunit ribosomal RNA", at positions 595 to 945 of the family's 1831-position model. The record is from RNAcentral. Lineage: Eukaryota; Metazoa; Chordata; Actinopteri; Esociformes; Umbridae.